UUUGCUACAAAAAACAAGAAAAUAAACACUCUCUCUAAAAAACCUUUAUCAAAAAGACAAGUGCUCAGGGAAGUUUGGUAUAAAGAUAAUCCAAUUUUUUUGAGUAUCAAACAUUUCAGCACAAAUACAGAUAUUUUAAUUAAUAAUAAAUACAGAGCCAUGGCUUAGAAAAAAUAUGUUCUGUGUAAGCAUCCUGUGAAGAAAAACAAAUACUUAAGUGAUAGCUGCAACUUAUCUUUUUAAGGAACUCUUAUUGAAAAGACAAAAAUAUUAUGGAUAUUGUUUAAAAACACACACAGUGCUGCAAACAAAUUAUUUUUGGAAAACUGCUCUCAUGUAUACACAUCCAAUCCAUGUCCCUAACAAAUCACCUAAGAUGAUAUGUACACCAGCAAGAGAGUAUCAGAAACUGAGUGUUAAUACAGGAGAUACAAAUAGGCUUUGAGCAAGUACAUAUUACUUUUAUAGUUUAGAGCUCAGAAAAUCUCUUUACUAUGCCAAAGUUUGAAACACACACAAGUAAUUUGGGUGCUUUUGCAAAUAACUAUACUCUUCUGCCAAACAAGUAUGACAUUUACGUUCACAGCAUAUCUAAUUCUGUUUCCCAGUAUGGUGAAAACACAACAGAAAAUUAUUUCAGCCUCCUUACAAAGAUUAAUCCAAAUAUUUUGCUUUACUUUUAUUAGCUUAACUGAUUUAUACAAAGGACUGAUACUAGUUUAUGUCCAAUUCCACUUGAUAUGCCUGAAGUGUUUUAGAAACCCCAACAUCGAACUACACACAGCUACAGUUCCUUUGCAGCAAGCCAGAUAGUCUCAUUUUGAAAUACAUUAGGCCAAAUUUGGCCUUCAUUUUCUUCUCAACAGUGCCCCCAAUUAACAGUUUUAUAUAACCAACAGAAAGCCAAUGAUCUUGAUAUUCACUCAUCCUGCCUGAAAUGACUCAUGUUAAAAAAUAAAAUUUAAAAAAAAAAAGAUGUAUUAAGUGCAAUUGUAUUAAGUCAAUGACAACAUCCUCUUUUUCAAAAAUGCAGAUCAUCAAAACCAACAUGAUCCCAACUCUGUAGUAUAGAUCUCGUGUCCUUCCAAGAACAAGGCAUAUUAAAAGCUGGUGAAGUCAGGAGUUACAACUUUUGUUCUUUAAAGUCAGUCUAAAAUGUUGUGCAGAGGAAGGUGUAGCCUUAUUGACAAUCUCUACUAAAAGCCUCAGUGAUUUCUAGUGACAGCAGCUUAAUUCUACAUAAGAUAAAUCUUUAUCCAUUUAUAUUCUUCUCCCUGCAGAAGUUCCAAUUUACUUUCUUUUCUAUGCUAGCUCAUUAAUACAUUAAUGUAUAAAUUAAUAUAUUAAUUCCCAAACCAUAUUAAUAAAACACCUCUAAAUAGAGCUGACAGCGGCAUGAUCCUACAGUAUCUAAUCAAACACAGCACCAUUCCCUAUCAACUGUCUGUGCUAACAGAGAUUGAACUGACACAACUGAAUGUUCUUUCAGACAUGCCUCAAACACUUCAUCAAGACACUGAAGUUCUGGGCUAACACAGACAUCUUCACAUGAAGUAUCCUUCUUCAAGCUAUCAUUCUCAAGGCCAAGGGCUCUUCCUCUGAAGACACUGAUACCUGCAAUAUAUCCCAGUUAAGCAAACAAAAGUACUACAUAUGAUAAAGGUUGCUUGUGAAGCAACGUUCAUGUGUACAGCAGGCAAAUAAAUAGAUUCUGUCAUGCUGCUUUACUCUACCAAUAUUUCUAAGCACAUUUGUUACCAUGAGGUUACAGUCUGAGCACUGCCAACCUGCAGAACAGAGAAGCAGGGAGCAAUACAGCUGCUGCUGCUAAUGCAGUGUAUGCUACAGGUAAGAAGUUUCUCCCCCUCAACCUUGAUCCAAUCCCUUAAGAUCCAAAUUUCAAAACAGAAAUUAUUAGGUUGAAAAUAAAUUAAAAUGGUAUAUUUAGGUCAUAAAAUGAUCUAAAGUAUCGACAAAGUCACAUACAAAGCCAGGAACUUCACUAAAUCUCAAUAAAACAAAAUAUUUAAAGUAGGAAAAAUUAGCACUUUUCUGGAAGCAUAGAUAAUUUUCUUGUUCUCAAGUAUUCUUCUACAGAUCUAUAGUUAACAAAAACCUGUUUUUGUUGUCAUGCUACAAAUUAAGUUUCACCGUCACAGGUACCCCCCCCAUUAAUCUUGGACAGAACAGUAUGAUGUAGGUACUACAAGUAAAACAGCAGCUUCUGACAGCAAAGUACACAACAGAACAUAGAAAUGCAAUCAUUUGGCAGUAUAGGCCUGUGUUGCACCUAUACUUGUAUUCAUAAGUCAUUUAGGAGGGCUUGCACAUGUUCUUGCUUCAGGAUUUUUUCUGAUAAUAGAGGUACAAAGGCAAAUUAGUUACUUGGUUUUCUGUGAAGCUGAACCAUCAUUACUCUUCACAAUAGCUAUUGACACUUAUCUUACAAAUCUGCUUAAACUCUCUAAAUUAUCACCAAUUUGCACAGCUCAUAAACCACUAUUAUUACAUAUUAAUCCUACUUUUUCUACCCCUCAUUAAAAGAAAAAAGCACAACCUACAUUAUUCCAGCUUUCCUAGCAGCAGUGCUGCUUAUUACAGAAUCACAAAACAGGUGAAUUAAGAAACCAGAGGGGGUUCAUCUGGUCAAACUCUUCUGCUCAAGCAGAGCCACCUAGACCACAUUGCCCAGAACCAUGUCCCAGAGGCUUUUGCGUAUAUCCAAGGAUGGAGACUCCACAGCCUCUCUGAGCACCCUGUGCCAACACUUGGUCACCCACCCUCACAGAGCAAAUGUAUUUCUUGAUGUUCAGAAGGAACCACCCAUGUUUCAGUUUGUGCCCGUUGCCUCUGAUCUUCCUCACCCUUUACUGGACUCUCUCUGGUAUGUCCAUGUUCUCUUUUACUGGGGAGCCCAGACUGGGACUCCAGGUGAGGCCUCUCCAGUGCUGCACAUAGGAGCAGGAUCACCCCUCUCAACCUGUUGGCAACAGUGCUCCUAAUGCAGCCCAGGAUACCAUUUGCUUUCUCUGCAGAAAGGGGAUAAGGCUGGCUCAUGUUUAACUUGGUGCCCACCAGGAGGCCCAGUUCCUUUUCUGCCAAGCCACUUUCCAGAUGGUUGUGCCCUGCCUGUGCUGGUGCCUGAGGCUGCUCCUCCCCACGGGCCAGGCUUCGCGCUUCUGUUUGAGCUAUUAGUUAUUGCACAUGGAUAGCCCAAGCUAGGUAAUAACACCUUGACUAAAUAAAUGUCUUUAUCCUUUAGAUAUGAAAUGAUCAGAGUAACCUCCAAAUGUGAAAAGAGAUCUUGAGCCUUGCCAUCCCUCUGCAGCUCCAGAGCACCUGAUUCAGGGGACUACACCAACCCAAAAAGUGACUUUCUCUCUUCAACAGUUAAACAUUUACCCCAGGACAAUUCAGAAUAGGCAAGUCAGAUGCAGAGGUUUGACAGGUUAUUAAUUUAAACGGGAGGCUGAAACAGAAAAUAGCUGGCUUUCAAGGAAGGGGAUGAGGGGAAGAUACAUUCUUCAGCUGCAGGAACACUGAUAGCUACUGUGCCUGCCUUUUCCUUUUCCUCACAGUUAAAUUAUUAUUAAGGAUAAAAAAAACAAGAGCUUUGUGGUUCUGGCAGACCAGCUAAGGCCAAUUCAUGGAAAAGAUUGGUAAAAUGAAUGAUACAGUUGUGCAAUAGAAACUUGGCAUUUCCCUCUUGGCACAUUCAUUCCCUUUAGAUGCAUGAUUAAUAUGAGAAUGACAGCCUUCCCUCUUCUAUCAUGAGUCAUGAAUCGAGAUACUAAUUUCAGAAACCCUACCAAACCAAGGUUCAGUAAUGUAUAGAUCACGGAAAGAAGAGAGUGAAGAAUGAAAGAGUGCACUGCAUUUGCUCAUAAAUAAGCAUGUUGCAAAAACAUCUCUCCUCCAGCCCAAACAUUUUUCCAUUCAUUUGGAGCCUUCAGUGUGCUAAAUGCCCUUCUAAUAUCCAAUACUGACCAUUUGCUCUCAACAACAGUUUAAGGACAAAUUAGAAUGACAAAAUAAAUAUGACAUUUACAGCCUUGCAAACUGAAUGAAUGAAAGCAAAGUUGGGAGGAUGGGCAUGUUAAGAAGGACACUACAGCACUGGGAAGUGCUUUCGAUGUGAGGAACCAGAAGGCAAACCAGCAGGCCUUUAAGCCUACUCAACACAGCUGUCCUGUGACAUUCUUCUUCCCAUUCCUUUGUAAACUAGAGUUAUCAUCCAAAGUAUCAAUCCAAGGUUUCAGGACUCUGUUUGUUUGACUAAAAUGGUUAUAUUCUAGUUUCUAAGCAUACUAACUGAGAUGCUGGUGUAAUAAAAAAUUCCUUUCUCUAAAACAAAGAAAAAGAAGUAAUUCUGGUUACUAAUAUCAGUUAUUUUGCUAAUGUGAUGCAUAUAUAGCAAUAAAAUAACACAAGUCGCCUUCAUGUAACAGAUUUCAUCUGUAUUCCGAGACGCUAAUUUUAAUCUCUCUUCCCACUCCCAAUCUUUUAACUUCACCAAAACCUAAAAAAAAGUUUUAGCACAUUUCACAGGGGUAUUAAAAAUUUGUUUUUCUCAUGCCAAUAUAAAAAUACAAAGUAAGUAAAGGCAAGUGAUAAUCACUUAAAAGAUCACAAAAUACUGAUGAAUUUACUCUCAAAAUUUUUGUAUCUUUUGUAGUAAGGACAGUCCACAAAAGAAAGAAUGACAAAUAUGAUGGUUUAGUUAUUAAUGGAAACCUUAAAUCCUAGCAAUAUACUUCAAUUUUCCUAUAAUGCAAAGAUAGACUUACACCCUCUGAUGGAAAUCUGGUCAAAACAAGGCUUGCAGCAUUAAGAACUCUACCUCCAUUUCUUCCUUGCUACUGCCCAAAAGGCAAAUAGAAAAUUAUCCAUGACAAAAAGCCCUGAGUUUUGCUACAUACCAAUGGAAAGAGCAUAACUGAGGAUCUUGGGUAUCACUGCCACUCUAAAUUUUUUUAAAAAAAGGUAUUUGAGACAAUGGAUCCUUCUUAUGUUCGAAUGUAAAACCUGAACUUUGAGGUGCACAGGCCCACCAGAGGAGGCUUUUUCCCCAAAAAUAUGAAGGAAUUAUCUUCUUUUAAUGGAAGUGAUCUCUCACAAGUUUUCCAUAUUAACCCAACUGCACAUUUACCAUUUUUAUAUAGCACAUACUAUCAUUAAACCUGACAUAUCAUCUGAAAUUUUCCACUACCUGUAAAUAUUUGUUGGAAAGAAAUAUUACAUUUCACAUGCCAAUUAUAACCAUCUUUCUAGGGAAGCACCUUUCUAAAGAUGCAUCUUUCCAGGACACAAAUAAUUUUCAAUUUAUGAAUAAUCUGAAAGUAUUAUCUAGCAUUUCACACCACUAGAGGGACCCAUAAGCAUUCUAAUUUCACAUAUAUUCCCAUCAAACCAUUAAAAAAUGUACUAUAUUAGAUCCGUGAACAUUUUUGUUUUAAUUAAGUCCUGCUAUUGAACUCUCCUGUAUGUUUACUACUCAUGAUUUGAAUUUUAAAAUAUUUUUACGACAUUCAGUACUCAAGUAUUAUAUAAAACUAUGAUUUCAUUUGGAAUAUACAGUCUUAGUAAGGAUUUUAAAGGUACAUAAAAAGACUGAUUUAGACUAUUGGGGUCUAAAUUAUCUCAUUAUACUUCCUGUCUUCCUUAGAACCACUUAGAAGCCCUGUUUAGCAUUGUUGUAAGGCACUACACUCCUGCUUAAAAAAAAUAUUAAGCCAUACUGUUUUGAUUUUAAUUUACAAUAUAUAACCAUUUCUAUACACAUUCAUAAACCUUUUCCAAAUAAUAAUGAGUGCUGGAAAAUAUGCUGUGGGUUAACGAUUAAUGAAAUAAACAUAGCGUUGCAAGUGUCUUCUGACUGAGGAAUCAGAAAAAAAAAUUUAGGUUUCAUGAAACUCUAGUAGUACCACAACUUUAUUAAAAACUCUAGGGGUUUUCAACAGAUGCUUCCUGAUGGAGGGGAAGUGCUAGGCAUCACCACCACCAAAGAUAACUUCUUUCCGGAACGAUCUUACAGAAUGAAAGGAUCUCACUGCCUCAGCAAAGCACAGAGCCAGAGAACCACGGAAUAAUUUAGGUGGGAAGGGACAGAAGAGACUUCUGAAAGUCCUUUAGUCCAAUUCUCUGCUCAAAGCAGAGCUGAUUUGAGAGAAAUUACUCAAAGUGAAGGGAUUAGACUACUUCGGUAUGAAGUGCCAAUUCUCCAAUGGCACUGUAAGUCACUGCACAGCAGCAGAAGUGUAAAAAAAAAAUCAUGAAAAGUUGGAUUUUACUGAUUUAUCUUUUGAAUUUUGGCUCAUCUUAGUAUUUCUGUAAACACCUCAGGAAAGACACAAAAUUAAGUGAAUUAAACAAUGUCAUUCCUGUGCUGGAAUGAGUAACAUUUUGCAAUAAUCUCAGGACUAGGAAACUACAUACAAGGCAGUCUUUCUGUAUCAAUUUGCUGAUUCAUAAGCCCAGUUGUGUUUUUGGGGUUUUUUUAACCUGAAUCCACUCACUGGGCAAGGCAAAUCUGCAGUUCACAACAGCAUACUGUGAACUAAGAUACCUCACUGAAGCUAAAUAUUUAGAGGAAUAUCAUCAGAACACAAAUAUACAAAAUAUAUACAAACAUAGCCUUUACAAAAUGGGUUAUGCCAUGUUAAUCAAGGUACUGAUGCUCCUACAGAACACGACACAAUGGUUCAACUCUUUUCCCAAAAGGAUAAUAUAUUCCAGACCGUCGCCAAAUCAUUUUCUUGCUGUCUUCCCAGAAAAACCCACCUUUCUUCUGUGUCCUAGAAAUCUUCGCUCCUACAGUAAAGGAAUGACAGAACCCUCAACUCAUCUUUUUUGUCUAUUUUUCAUCACCAGAAAUAAAAGAAUUGAAAAGUAACCCAUCUUGGUUAACAGAAAAAGCAUUUCCUUUACCAGUAUAUGUGACCAUCAACACAAAGUCAAACUGGCAGCAGAGAUGAAAACAAAAGAACUCUCACAUAUUUUCUACCCAACUGUCCAGCAUUAAAAAAAAAAAAAAGCCUUUCCAAAUAAUGUACUUGGAGAAGGAACACAUCGAAGAAGUUCAAAAGAAAAUAAAAGAAAAUAGAAAGUAUCUCUGUCUUCUUCCAUGGUCAAACUUAUGCCAGCAAUGAAACACAGAGUGUGCUGUAUGUGUGCAGGACUCCAGAGCACACACACUGUUUUACAGUAGCUUGGGAAGAAGAAACUAUAGGUAAAACAAACAUCUAGAAUAACAAAAGAAAAAAACAAACCUGCUCUGUAUUCUCAAUUGGCACUUUUUAUCCUCAAAUCUUCCUUAACCAAGCUCACUUCAAGCUCACUCUUUCCAUUUGGCCAAUACAGCUGUAAAUUUAGAACAUUUUCUAUGAUUUCCCCUUCUGUGACUGCAUUCUCCAAACUAAAUCAAAGUCAAAAUUUCUCUCACAUUGUGGAACACAAUUUAUUUGAGUAAUCUGGAUUGUGAAUAAUUAGAAGACAAUUUCAGAAUUGCAUCAUUCACAGAAAGGCAGCUUUUGAAGAAAUCUCUUAGGUACAAGCUUUUUACUCCUCAGUGAUGGUGUUUUCAAAAGAAAACAAAUACUUCAAGCUAUGAUCACACAGAAAUCUUCUUGCAUUACUUUAUUGAUUGUGAAACUCAUCCUUCUUCACAGUAGAUUGCUGAACAAGACAAACAAUUACCAUUAAACAUAACCAAAUAGAUAAUUCCUCUAUUUUCUUGAAACAAAAAAGGCAUUGAAAUUCAUCUGGCCUAUGCUUAUUUUAUCUCAAUCUCUAGAAGGUAUCAUCAAAAGCAUUAUUAGCUGCUGCAACACAAGGAUUUUUCAAAUUGUUUCAGGCAAUCAGUUUGGAUUUGCACUCGUCUCUUCUUUGAAUUCUGGCCUCUCAGCCAAAGGAAGUCUAAACUCACUGUUCAAGUGAAUAAACCUUUGCCAAUGGUUUGUGAGCUAGGAACUGGGAAGUUAAAAACAUCAUUGCAAACAGUAUAUGCUGACAUUUUUGCCAGAUCUCAGAAUAGUUUAUAAUAUGUUCCACAAAGUGUAAUUUCCAAUUAAACAGUCUGAAGGUUGUAUAAUAAAGUGGAAUUUCAUCACGUAUUUGCACUCUCAAGAAAGAGAAUUAGAUUUAGCCAUCACCUAUAAAAAUAUCCCUUUCUUUCCAUUCCCCCCUACAAAGGCUCCAUAUACAGCUAAGGAGAAGAACCAUUUAAGUCUCAGGGAAGUCUUAAGUUUCCAUCACAUUGUUUUUUCUCCUAUGUGAAGCAUUAUACUGUAUGCAAGCAACUAUUUUCUUCAAAAUUGAGCAUUCUUGAAUGUUACCAAACACAUACUGAUUAACUCAAAAUCCCAUCUUCUAAGAUAUUUUAACUCACAGAUGUGACAGAUUUGAUUAUCUAUAAAACAUGAAACAGAGCCCCAUAUGAUGGCAAUAUCAUCAUCUCCCCAUAGAAGCAUGCUCAGAUGAGACUGGCAUGAGAGAAUUGUAAAAACCUUUUGACAAGAUCUUACUUAUUCUGGGCCAGGCACAACAGGAACAGCAAGAAGAAAAACAUGUUUCUUCUCUGCAAAACCAAAGUAUUCAUUUUUCUGUCUGGUUCUUCUAGACUAUAUCCAACAACCCUUUCCUAAAAGGGAAGCUUAAAAGUAUUAAUUUCAGCUGUAUCUGCAUAAGACACUUCUCAAUAUUUUUUCUGUUAUCUUAAUUAUUCAUUUGAUCUUUAUUCAUUUUGGCUUCACUUCCUCACUAUAACAUACUAUACAUAUCAUUGUGCACACUCACUGCUUUGGUUUUUUUUCAGGUGAAACAGUGAGUGAUUAGGGCACAUUAUAUAUGCUUUUGUUUCUGCAUGCUAGAAACACCUCAAACAAUCAAAAUUUCUUAAGUGUAUUUGUGUGUGUGUAUAUACAUACAUAUAUUAAAAAAUAGACGUUACUGACAACCUCUCAAUAGCAAGAAAACAAAACCUCAAAUUUUAUUGCUGGCUUGCUAUUUAUGAAAAAGGGAAUAUUUUUAUCCUGUCAUUCACUAAUUCUUCUACCAAAGAUUUUGUUUCACAUUAGCUUGUAUCAACAUAUUCUGACAUUGAAGACUGAAUUACUGUCUGUGGUGUCUCAAGUAAUGUAAAGAAAAUUUUAAAGUAUUUGUGUAAACUGUAGCCUAUUUGUAAACCAGAAGACAGUGAUUAUAACCACUGCAAUCACUUUUUUCCAUAACUUCCCUGAAAACGAAACAGUACAUGCUGCAUUCUUACAGCAAACUGCAAAACUCCACUCUUGUUUCCCAUGGAGUGAAAAGCAGACCCAGUUGUUCUACAGUUCAUUCAGUAAAACAUUACCGUCUAUGCAUUUUACUGUGCAACAGUGAAUUCAGAGGAAGAAAGUUGUGUGGCUACUCUCUCCUUUCCAGAAAUGGUGGAUCUGAGACGCUAUCUUGAGUUUAUGCCCAUGGUCCCACACAGGAGUAACCAACAGUCACACAGUAAACAGCAAAAGUACAAAUUGAUGACUCAGCAUGAACCAACUGCCAACCACCAAGAAGAAUAUAAUCCUGACUUUCCCCACUCACCAGGAAGCAGUCUUGUUGAAACAAAAAUUUGUUUAUUAAGCUAUUCCUCUUGGUAGUUCCUGCAAUUACCUAUAAAAAAGUGACUUCUGGAAUAUAAUGCAGAAGGAAAACUACCACCCAGCAAAGUUACUUUGAUCAUCAGUCAAAUCCUACAUUUAAUAAUCCUCAGAUAUGACUCCCAUUCCACUAUCUCUAACAAAAAUAUUUUUCCGAUCAUCUUCCUAAAAUCAAAUUUCCUAACAGUUACUGUUGAGAAUACUUCUAGACAGGUUAGAAACUUGAAUAUUCAUGUCUCAAUUACAGAAUUCUGGAAUGAAGAUACAGAUGCUGAGCCUAUAAUGCCUAAGAAGGUACAGAAGUGAUCUUUAGAAGUAAGUGCUGACAAACUUUUCUUCAGCAACACUAGCUGAAGUUGCAAGUUAAAAUAGUGUUAUGAAGAAAAGUAAUGCAUUUCAAAUUCAGUACUCUUCCAACCUACCAGUAAAAUACUGGGUCAAGAGCCUAUCAAUAAAAUAUUAGAAAAGAGACUGGUCAGCAUAUUAUUAGCUAAACCUCCUGAAAGACAUUCAACUUCUUCUCAAAACAUCAUUGACAGAAGAAGAAAAUGCUGAACAACCAAAGUUAGCUAAGCAAAACACAAAACAGCAAAUAAUGCUUCAGCACUGUGACUGACAGCCACUGUGUAAGUCAUCUGCAAAACACACAAGCAAUGAUCACUGCAAAAUGUUUAGAACCACAGAAUAAAGCUACUGGAUAAUAGAAAAAAGUUACAGUGCAACGAUACAAACACAAAGGAGGAAGCAUGUCCAUGCAUUACUGAUGUUCAGGAUACAGCUGUGAUGGGGGGGAAAAAAAAGGCAACAUUUAGAUGGUUUCGUCUGCUUCAGCUGCAGAAGACACCCUUUCCAGUUCAGUAUUUGCCCCAAGGAAAGAAGAGCUGACCGACUCCUCUCACGUGCUAUUACUCAUACAGGUAUCUUUCUAGAGAUUCGUAUCUAUAAACACUGACACAUCUACAGUGACGUGACGCACUUUACAUGAAUGUUACCUUGUGAGGCACACUGCAAGCACCACAAAAGGGAAAUACUCAUUUUUUAACCAUUGGAUGUAGUGAGUCUUAUCACUUUUGACAAAGAACCAUAUUAGAGUUGUACAGAUGCUCAACCAGGACUGGUCUACAGCAGCCUGUAUCUGCCCACACCUGUUGGCAGGUACUGUCAUCUGCUCAUUCAUAGCAAGAAACUGGUCCAAUUUUGGAGCUCAAUACAAAUACCUUCAUCUGUGAUUUUGAAGAGUUAAAGAACUGUACCAUUGUUACAAGACAAAGUUCCAUCAGGGCCUCAAGACUGCAAUCCACUCAGUAAAGGCAGACUGCUCUGAAGGUGAGAUGCAAGAAGUUGAGUUUUAGCUGCUCUGAGUUACUACGUUUCACUAUUAAAUACACCUUCAGCGAAGACUGAAUGGUAUACUGGAAGCAGAUAAACAGUAAUUUCAAUUCCCACAUACUUCACAUAUUGCAAGUAACCUGGCUAUGGAAGUGAAAACAGUUGAACAGUAAUGUGUGACAAGAAAAGCUACCAAAGUUUUGGACUUUGGAAUAAAAAAUUUAUGUUCUAUUUCCUAAAGCACAUCCUUUGAACAGUGAAAGAUCAUCUUACUGUGCUAUAUUUAAAUGGCAAUCUAAAUAAAAAACAUCGAGUUUACAAUCUCACAGAAAGAUACCACAAAACUGUCAACACAUCGCAACAACCAGAAAAGAAAAUUACAGAACUUAAAGUCACAGAAGUUGUAUCUUCACAAGUUAUCAACAGAAGACACAAAGGACACAACAAGUCUGUCCUCUAAAUUCAAGGUUGAAGCUUUUUUCCUCGGGGAGAAGCUUUUCCAGUAACUUUUAUGCUUAUGUGAACACUACUAGCUCACCUGUGCAGCUUCAGAGCUUCCAGAAGCAUGUGUGUGGAAAGGGGGAGCACAGGAAGCACUCAGGGCUUCCCCACACAGCAGCUCUACGUAUGAAUUUCUACAGUUGUGUCUGUCCCGCUCAUGAACUCAGAGAACAGAGCAAUGCAGUGCAACAAAUAAAGGCUAAAAGGCACAGGAGCAGGCACAAUGUGAGAUGUUCCUUUUCACUUGCUCCCUGGGUUUCUCUCUCAUUCACACGUGAAAAAGAAAUAAAUAAAAUUUAUGGUAACAACUAA
Molecule: long non-coding RNA, 11777 nt
Organism: Corvus hawaiiensis (hawaiian crow)
Lineage: Eukaryota; Metazoa; Chordata; Aves; Passeriformes; Corvidae
Exons: 3
Source: RefSeq, a predicted model, not a curated record